This 5383-nucleotide long non-coding RNA is filed under the name Sus scrofa (pig). RNAcentral describes it as "lncRNA (ENSSSCG00015011047.1)". Lineage: Eukaryota; Metazoa; Chordata; Mammalia; Artiodactyla; Suidae. The record is from RNAcentral.
GUUUUGGUUUCAUAUCAUAUCCAAGAAACUACUGCCAAAUACAAGAUCAUGAAGAUUCUCCUGUUUUCUUCUAAGAGGUUUAAAAUCUUAGCUCUUAUACUUACAUCUUUGAUCCAUUUUAGUUAAUUUUUGUAUAUGAGAUGAGGUAGAAGUCCAGCCUCUUUUUAUGCAUUAACCAAGUUGUAAAAGCAUCAGUUACUGAAAAGACUCUUCCUUCCUCAUUGAAUAGUCUUGGAAAUCUUGCUGAAAAGUCAUUGACAACAGACAUAUGCUUUUUAUUUCUGUACUUUUAAUUCUGUUGCAUUGAUUUCCAUUUCCAUUGAUCUGUACAUCAGUACCACAUUGUUUCAAUUGCCAUAACUUUUGAAAUCAGGACUUAUUGCCAUAAGUUUUGAAAUCAGGAAAUUGUAGCUCUCCAAUUUUGUUCUUAUUCAUGAUUGUUUUGGCUAUAUGUGAUUCCUUGCAAUUCCAUAUGAAUUUCUGAAUUACCAUUUCCAUUUCUACAAAAAAAAAAAAAAAAAGACCACUGGGAUUUUGAUAGGGAUUAACGCACUAAAUCUGCAGAUCACUUUGGGUAGUGCUACCAUCCUAAUAAUAUUCUCUUCCAAUCCACAAAUGUUCAUGUCUUCUUAUUAUGUCUUUAUUCAUUUCUUUCAAUAGUAUUUUGUAGCUUUCAAUGUAAACACCUUGCACCUCCCUGGUGAAAUUUACUUCUCGAUAUUUUAUUUUUGGUACCCUUGUGAAUAGAAUUGUUUUCUUCAUUUCCUUUUUGGAUUGCUCAUUGCUAGUGCACAGAAACAAACCUGAUUUUUGUGUGUGUCUGUAUGAGUUGUUAUGAUUUUUUAUCUAUAAAAUGUCAUCUGGUAAAAGAGAUUUUACUUCUUUCUAGUUUGGGUGCCUUUCAUUUCUUUUUCUUAUCUAAUUACUCUGGCUUGAGCCUUCAGUGCAAUAUUGAAUAGAAAUGGGUAGAGAGGACUGCUUGUCUUGUUAUUAUUGAUCUAAGCAGGUGGGAGGAAGCUUUUGGACUUUCACAAUGUUAGCUGUGGGUUUUUCCUAAACAAACACACUUUAUCAAGUUGAGUAAGUAGCCCCUCGCACCCGUCACAGUGAUUUUCUUUUCUUCCUGAAAUGCAAAGAUCAUCAAGCAUUUCUUUGUUAAAAAUCCUGCAGUGAGUCCCCAUUUUUCUCAGUAUAAAAUCAAGACCCUUAGUUCAGCACAAAGACUCUCAAGAUCUGAUACCCAUUGGAGUUCCCUGGUGGCCUAGCUGUUAAGGAUCUAGCAUUGUUGCUGAUGUGGUUUGGGUCACUGCUGUGGCAUGGGUUUGAUCCCUAGCCUGGGAACUUCUACAUGAUGCACAGCCAGGGGAAAAAAAAAAAAAAAGAUCCGACACCUGUUGACUUCUCCAGUUUCAUGUCCCCACACUCAUUCUUCAGUACAGAUUCAUAGACAUAUCACCUCUUCACACCUGCUGUUCCCUCUGCUUGGAACACCACCUCCCUUUCUCAAAAGGCUUCUUUAAGUUAUCACACACCUGUCUUCCUGCCCUCCCCACUUCAGGCAGUGAUUGUGUUACUCCUGAGUUAACUCUGUUAAAGCAGCUGGUACAUACACUAUAUGACAAUAAUCUGCUUACCCCCUGCCUUCCUAAAGGGCAAAGACCAAGUCUCUCAUUUCUGUAUCCUUAGUGAAUACAGGACUCCAUGUAUGUCUUUGGAAUAAACAAAGGCUACAUUUCUGUUUCAUUUAUACUUACAAACAUGUCCUCUAAGUCCUAAGAAAGGCAGAUCUGGAUAAGGAUGAGGAAACAAAUUCAGUUAAAGAAUCAGGAAGUUACAUGCUCAGACUUUACCUGUUCAGCUCCCCCAAACCCUAAUUUGAGAGUCAUAGGUAGAUUAUUUUUUUUUCACAGUUACCUGAACAAUGCAUAUUACCUCUAUCCAUCAAAGGAUAAAAUUCUAUAAAUUUUGUUGUUCUUUCUUUUUAGGUUGCUAGGAAGUUCAAAGCAUUUAAUGCUUCAUUGUCCUGUAAUCAUAUUAGUCCUGGAGUUUAGUAUAUUUGUUUCUUCCUGUUUAUGUCUUUGCUUUUCUAUUUUAACAAUCUUAUUGUACAUAAGCCUUUCUGGAAAAAAAGUGGAGCAUAAAUAUGUAUGUAUAUACACAUAUUUUGUGUAUAUACUAAAAACACGCUGUAUGUCUUUUUUGUUAGUAGAGAAGCUAACACAGAUCGUUAAGUUGACAAUGUAGAAAAGCAGAGUUAGAGCCACUGAGAAAACCUGUCUGUAGUUACCUUAGCCAGACAAGCCAUUGUUAGGUUGGUGUCUCUUAAAUGAAAAUCAGAAAGCAGGUAGAUUUCCUUCAUCAGAGAGUGUGAAAAAAAUUUGUUGGCACAGCAAAAUAUUUUCAGACCCUCAAACUCUUUCCCACAUGGCUCCUAUCGCUACAAAGAUUUUGCAUCUGGCAGCACUGAGAAGAAAAGGUGAACAUUUCCAACAUUCAGUGACUUAAGAGAAUCAGAGCCUGGAUGAACUUGACCAUGUGGAGCAAGCCCCUAUCUUUAAAUGGCACAGCCCAGACUGAGUGGAGGUCUCCACAAUUCCUUUUCUCCUCCCCUAGUCACCAGAUCUGUAGGUUUUCCACUGGAAUCUCCCCCUUCCCUCUUCCAAGUCUCCCACAGGCUCUUGACAACUCUGGGUUUAGGUUGAAAUGCCCAUGUCCUCUCCAGGGUCACCUCUCAUUGCCCAUCCACGUGUUCUUGGCUCUGGACUUUAUCUGAAGACUGUGGUUUCCUCAUGCCACUGUAUGAUGGCCCAUGCUGCUCCUCUGGGUAGUCGUCUUUCUUCCCUCCUUCACUCUCGUCUCCUGGCUCGUUUCUGCUCAUCCUUCUAGACUCAGCUCAGACAGUGUCUCCUAAUAGCUCAGUGCUUUCCUGUGUGCUCCCAGCACACCCUCCCUGCUGUCCGUCUCCUUCAUUAGGCUGUGAGUCACUUCAGAUCAGGGAGGGAAUAUCUACCACUGAGUCCCCAGAAAAUAAAUCCUACUGACCAGAGGAGGUCUCAGGAAACGUUUGUUGAGUGGACAUGCAUAGGCUUAGCAUACUGCUGCAGACGCGUUUAGGAAACACAUCUGAAAUGGGCCUCACUCAUCACACUUCGCACAAAAUGUGAGAGGUGGAUCUCAUAACUCCCACUAGUCUAUCAUUUUUUUUCCUCACCUGAUUCUUCUAAAUUUAUUAAGAUCUCCCCACUCCUUCCCUUGACUUUUCCCUUGUCUAACUUAAAAAAAAAAAAAAAAAAUCAAGAGUUCCCGUUGUGGCUCAGUGGUUAACGAAUCCGACUAGGAACCUUGCUCAGUGGAUUAAGGAUCUAGUGUUGCUGUGAGCUGUGGUGUAGGUUGUAGACGCAGCUCGGAUCCUGUGUUGCUGUGGCUCCAGCAUAGGCCGGUGGCUACAACUCCCACUCGAUCGCUAGCCUGAGAACCUCCAUGUGCUGCGGGGGCGGCCCUAGAAAAGGCAAAAAGACAAAAAAAAAGAAAAAAAAAGAAAAAAAAAGUCCUUAUUCCAUUUGGAUUUGACUUAGAUUUGUUUUCACACUGAAGGUCAAUUGUCCUAGACACCACUUAUUAAUCAUUUGAGGUACAGCCUUAGUUUUUAUUACAUUCUUAUAAAUAAUAGAUUUUGUUUUCUCUUCUGUCUAUUGGCCUAUUAUCACACAGCUUUAGUUACAGUCAUUUUAUUACACAUACCUGGAUAUUUGCGUGUUUUUUUUCCUUUUUUUUUCUUGUCAUGACUGUUGCUUGCCGAAGUUUUCCUGGGCCAGGCAUCCAACCAGAGCAGCAGCCCAAGCUGCUGCAAUGACAAGGCCAGAUCCUUAACCCGCUAGGAAACUCCUGGAUAUUUGCGUUUUAACUCAGCCGUAUUUUUUUUCAUGUUAAAAACUACAGACAUUCUCCUGUGGUGCAGUGGGUUAAGGAUCCAGAUGUUGUCACUGCAGCAGCUCUGGUCACUGCUGUCGCACAGGUUUGAUCCCUGACCUGAGAACUUCCACAUCAUGGGCUUGGCCAAAAAAAAAAAAGAAAAGAAAAGAAAAAAGAAACUAUAGCAGUUACUUCAAUUAAAAAAAUAACUCUAGAGGGAGAUUUUAAACAUACAGAGAAGCAAAGAAAAAAUUAUAUUACCCUGAUGCCAUAUCUUGCAGAUAACAUCAUUAUCAUUUUGAUGUAAAAAUGGUGGCUUUCUUAGCUGACUUCAACUUGACCACCUUGACAGAUUAACUGACAUGUUCCAGUCCUCUGUAGAACGAGCUGGCUGAUGUCCACAGAAGGCUGAAUGGUCUGGGAGAGGGGCUUACCCACUCUCAGCAUCAGUGGAAUGUGCUUUUUGCCAGAGUCACACAUAUUUAUUCCAACAGGUUAUGCCAAGUGCAGUGGUUAUUCAAAUGGUCUGAUGAAAUAUUAUGUAUAUUUAUAAAAACAAUGAGUAUGAAGAGAAUAAUUUCUAUGAAAACUAAAUUGUAUUCUUUGGAGAGACUCUAUAAAGAUAAGAAACUCAAACUAUUACUCUUGAAUUACUUGUGCAUGAGACUUAUAAUCAUUGGAAAGAAAUUACAAAAAUCUAGGAGUCCCUACUCAGUUUACUUCAUUAUUGAGCAUCUCUAAAUCCCUUUUUUUUUUGUUUUUUUCUUUUUGGGCCACAUCCAUGGAGACUCUCAGGCUAGGGGUCAAAUCAGAGCUGUAGCUGCUGGCCUACGCCACAGCCACAGCAAUGUGGGAUCCGAGCUGUGACCUACACCACUGCUCUCGGCAACACCAGAUCCCAGACCCAGUGAGUGAGGCCAGGGAUUGAAUCGGCAUCCUCAUGGAUACUAGUUGGAUUUGUCUGCUGCACCACAGUGGGAACUCCCAGAGCAUGUCUAAAUUCUUGAUCCAUUUUAAAGAAGACAACAUUUCACAUUAUUUCUUUUUUUUUUUUUUUUCUUUUUGGGCCACAUCCAUGGAGACUCUCAGGCUAGGGGUCAAAUCAGAGCUGUAGCUGCUGGCCUACGCCACAGCCACAGCAACGCGGGAUCCGAGCCGCGUCUGCAACCUACACCACAGCUCACGGCAACGCCGGAUCGUUAACCCACUGAGCAAGGGCAGGGAUCGAACCCGCAACCCCAUGGUUCCUAGUCGGAUUCGUUAGCCACUGCGCCACGACGGGAACUCCUAUUUCAUUUUUUGGUGGUGACAUUAUUGGCAUGUUUAAUGUCAAAAAAAAAAAAAAGAAAAUAGACAACUUCAGAUGACUCAGAGUCAUAAAUAGAACCAAUGCAUAUGUCAAAGAUUGGGCAAUGAUUAUUUACUUGUAGUUUUAAAAAACAUUUCAUUUAUAAUGAUUCUCCUCUUUAAC